GUUGUGAAUGCAAAACACACUGAAGAGACUGCAGCCAGCGCGCACCUCCUUGUACAGCUUACGGUGACAUCAUCACAAGCAUGUGUGACAUCACAGGGUUCUAAACCAUCUUCAGAUCCUUGUAUCCCGUGGACUCCUUCAGAUUCGGUGGACUACUUCAACGACCAGUGUUUUUCUUUGCUUGAUGUUAAUAAAAUGGUUAAUGAGGGCUUGUGGAGGAGCGUUGUUUGUAAUAAAAAAUUUUUUUAAA
Long non-coding RNA from Hyla sarda, 250 nucleotides. RefSeq lists it as uncharacterized. Lineage: Eukaryota; Metazoa; Chordata; Amphibia; Anura; Hylidae. The transcript has 2 exons. The record is from RefSeq and is a predicted model, not a curated record.